Molecule: long non-coding RNA, 880 nt
Organism: Labeo rohita (rohu)
Lineage: Eukaryota; Metazoa; Chordata; Actinopteri; Cypriniformes; Cyprinidae
Exons: 3
Source: RefSeq, a predicted model, not a curated record
GUAUGUUUAUGACUGCAGGAUCCUUGUGCUGCUCUUCCCAAAUGACUGCAGGAGACAUUGGAAGUUCUGGUUUCUCCUGUUGGUUGGUGUAGAGGCUACAACUGGUGUGCAUCCGAGACAGAGCAUCAGGUUCUGCUGGCAUAAGCAAUCACCUGUUCCUUUCCCUGGUCCUUUCUCUGAGUCAACACGGCACCCAAACCAGUGUCGCUGGCAUCCGUGUAUACUGUGAAGGAAAGUUGCAGGUCAGGAUGGCCAAGGAUGGGAGGAGAGUGCAUUCAGAGGUUCAGCAAUUCUGGAGAAGUUUGGAACAAACCGGUGGUACCACCCGGCUAAACCCAAGAAGCGCUGGACCUCUUUGAUGUUGGUAGGCACGGGGUAUGACUGUAUGGCUUCUACUUUGCUGGGGUCUGCAGAAACUCCUUUGGUACUGACGACAUGUCCCAGAAAUGUUAUCUCUGAUAGGCAGAACUUACUUUUUUUCAGGUUAAUGGUUAGGCCAGCCACUUCUAGUUUGUGAAGAACAGCCUGAAGGUCUGAGAAAUGCUGGGCGACAGAAGGUGAGUAAAUAAUUAUGUCAUCAAUAUAGACAAAACAAAUGUUUCCACGCAAUUCUCCAAGUACACACUCCAUCAACCUCUGGAAGGUUGCAGGGGCAUUCUUUAACCCAAAGGGCAUUACAUUGAACUGGAACAGCCCUAAGUGGGUAACGAAAGCAGUCUUUGGUUUACUUUCUUCGUCCAUGCUCACCUGCCAGUACCCACUGUUGAGGUCAAUAGUGGAAAAAACUGAUGCUCCAGACAGAGACUCCAAGAUUUCCGUGAUGUUGGGAAGAGGAUAUGCAUCAUUUUCUGUGCUGGCAUUAAUCUUUCGGUAAUCCACA